CUUCCUACGAUGCUUGUGUUAGCGCAUGCGCAGUAGAUCUCCGAAAGUAUCGCUGAUCGGAGAGAACGAGGCGCAGACGAACGGCUCGAUCGACUGCGCGAGACGCGAUGAGUAAUACAGGAGAAUCCACAGAACGGGAUCAGACAUGACGGAUGAGCUGAACAGGGCGUCAGCUGAACCGGAGACGAUGAAACCGGAAGAGACUGUGCCGGUUGGAUCAGAUGUUGUUACUGUCAUUGAGGAUAAUGCAGUGGAGAACAGUGCACCUGGAAAGGUGAUGGUUGAGUCGCCACCUGAUUGGCUGAAGCCAAUGGAGGAGGAUGAAGAUGAUGGUGAAGGUGUCAAGAGCAGUGAAUGGAUCACCAGAAAAACCAAUAAUGACGUUCCUAAAGUAAAACGACGCAGAGGUCGGCCUCCGAUUGCCAGAAAUGCUAGACAUGGACUUACUCGUUUAGAUUUCAAGAAAGGAUUGCAUGCAGAUCGCCCUAAAACUAAGACUGUUCGUACUAUACUGGAAAGAACACGUUCAAGUCUCACAUCAGCUACUGCCAUUCCCGUCCCAGAUCCAACCCGCACGCCUGAGGUUUUACCCCGAACACCCCAGAGCAUCAUUCACAACCCGACGUCGACAUCCCAAAGACCCCGACUCAUCCCAAUCUCACCUACAGGGGACAGCAGCCUCUCCAAGAUCCCCAAUGCUGAGUUUCACAGCCCUCCGCGUCUCACGAGGGUCUCGCCGCUCAGUAUUGACACAUCUGUGACACGGAAUUUCAUUCACUCUCCGGCUGUAAAAGUGGGCAAUGUUUCCCAACAGAUCGUUUCCUCUACUGGACCUGGGAAAGAUGGCACUGAGCCGCCCCUUCGACUCUGGCUUUGUCCCUCUAUGGAGCCCAUUAGUCCUACAAAAUCUCAGGAUACAUUCUCAGAUCAGACUGUAAGUUCACCAAAUUUUACGGAGACUACGCGUAAUGGAACAGCGACCCUAAAGGAAAGUCUUCCGUUUCUCAGGUGAACAAAUAUGACUCCUUUUAUACCACUUAGAAAGUCUAU
Molecule: long non-coding RNA, 1050 nt
Filed under: Sinocyclocheilus anshuiensis
Lineage: Eukaryota; Metazoa; Chordata; Actinopteri; Cypriniformes; Cyprinidae
Description: lncRNA (ENSSANG00000005581.1)
Source: RNAcentral